CUGUAGGGGGCUCAGUGGUUAAGAGCACUGACUACUUUUCUAGAGGUCCUGAGUUCAAUUCCCACAACUACAGG
This 74-nucleotide transfer RNA is filed under the name Mus musculus (house mouse). RNAcentral's name for it is "tRNA-Ser". Lineage: Eukaryota; Metazoa; Chordata; Mammalia; Rodentia; Muridae. The record is from RNAcentral.